GCCUAGCCCCGAUGGAACGGCAUGUUUGAGCUCUUUUCCAUUUUAGGGGUUGCGGCGGCUUCGCCGCCGCAACCCCUAAAAUGGAAAAAGCGAGUAGUGACAGCGGGAAAUAGC
Molecule: unclassified non-coding RNA, 114 nt
Filed under: Chryseobacterium profundimaris
Lineage: Bacteria; Pseudomonadati; Bacteroidota; Flavobacteriia; Flavobacteriales; Weeksellaceae
Description: Flavo-1 RNA
Source: RNAcentral